AAAGUUUGACAGACAAUCGCUGGUGGCUUCGCGCCACGAGAGGAAAGUCCGGGCUCCGCAGGGCAGAAUGCUGGAUAACGUCCAGUCAACGCGAGUUGAAGGAUCAGGGCCACAGAAAUGGACCGCCGAUGAUCUCUAAUCGCCCAAUUUGUUUUUGGGGUCCCCGCAAAGUAAUCGGCAUAAGCUUCGAAAGCUUAACGUCACUUUGUGGGGUAGAGAAACAGGCAAGGAUGGAACCGUGGUGUAAGAGACCACGAGGAGCACUGGCGACUUUGCUCCUGGUAAACCCCAUUUGGAGCAAGACCUAGGAGGACGCAGGCGUUAAGCCAGCCCUAGCCCGGGGUGCGUUCGGGUUGGUCGCUUGAGCCGUAUAGCAAUGUGCGGCCUAGAAAGAUGAUUGUCGCUUCAGUUCGUGGGAGGCUUGCUUCGCGCAGGCCGUUAUGACCACUUGAAGUACAGAACCCGGCUUACGGCAAGCUUUCCGG
Molecule: RNase P RNA, 485 nt
Filed under: Cohnella herbarum
Lineage: Bacteria; Bacillati; Bacillota; Bacilli; Caryophanales; Paenibacillaceae
Description: Bacterial RNase P class A
Rfam family: Bacterial RNase P class A
About the family: Ribonuclease P (RNase P) is a ubiquitous endoribonuclease, found in archaea, bacteria and eukarya as well as chloroplasts and mitochondria. Its best characterised activity is the generation of mature 5'-ends of tRNAs by cleaving the 5'-leader elements of precursor-tRNAs.
Source: Rfam by way of RNAcentral